UCUUGGUCAUUUAGAGGAAGUAAAAGUCGUAACAAGGUUUCCGUAGGUGAACCUGCGGAAGGAUCAUUAUCGAACAAGAUUGUCGCUGGGGGUAACCCAUGCACAUCUACCCUUUUUCAUUCCAACCUGUGAACCUGUUGUAGAUCUGUAAGGAUCUAUGUUAAUCAAUAACCCUCAAUCCUAUCGUAUGUCCAUAUAUAUUUUAAAUACAACUUUCAGCAAUGGAUCUCUUGGUUCUCGCAUCGAUGAAGAACGCAGCGAAUUGCGAUAAGUAAUGUGAAUUGCAGAUUUUCAGUGAAUCAUCGAAUCUUUGAACGCACCUUGCGCCCCUUGGUAUUCCGAGGGGCAUGCCUGUUUGAGUGUCAUUUAAUUAUCAAUCCAUGAUUGGACUUGGGAAUUGCUGGCUAGUCAGCUGUCCUUAAAUUGAUUAGCAAGUGGAUGAUUAUCUACGUGCACGGCCUAAUAAUCUGGGCUGGAAGUUUACAAACUUGCUUAUAAUUAUUACUUGAGAAACCAAUUGACCUCAUCUCAUCUC
RNAcentral lists this ribosomal RNA (535 nucleotides) under uncultured Leccinum. RNAcentral's name for it is "eukaryotic LSU rRNA". The stretch from base 211 to 365 matches the Rfam family "5.8S ribosomal RNA". The record is from RNAcentral. Lineage: Eukaryota; Fungi; Basidiomycota; Agaricomycetes; Boletales; Boletaceae.